RNAcentral lists this long non-coding RNA (320 nucleotides) under Ananas comosus (pineapple). RNAcentral describes it as "long non-coding RNA (ACOM_LNC030611)". Lineage: Eukaryota; Viridiplantae; Streptophyta; Magnoliopsida; Poales; Bromeliaceae. The record is from RNAcentral.
UCUUUCACACACACCCCCCUCUCCCCUUCACUCAAGGAGUGUAAGUUUCAUCUGAAACAGUGUAACGUUUUUCUGAAACGGUGUAAUUUCAUCAUUUUCUUUUUUUCUCUCUGAUUCUUCAUUUCUUGAAUAAAAUUGACAAUUUUGAAGUAGUUUGAUCAUAAAGUAAACUAUAUUGAAAAAAUAUAAAAUUUCAUUUCUCAAAACUUUAAAUACCCUAUAUCAGUUUUAACGGUGUGGAUCGUUGAUUUGAACACCCUAAAAUCGAAAAUGAGACUAUAGUACCGGAGCUCCGGUACUAUAAAUAGUACAGAAAAUUA